GAGUUUGAUCCUGGCUCAGGACGAACGCUGGCGGCGUGCUUAACACAAGCAAGUCGAGCGGAGAUAAAAUUAGUUUACUAAAUUUAUCUUAGCGGCGGACGGGUGAGUAACACGUGGGCAACCUGCCUCAAACAGUGGAAUAGCCAUCCGAAAGGAUGAUUAAUACCGCAUAAGACCACAGCACCGCAUGGUGCAGGGGUCAAAGGAGCAAUCCGGUUUGAGAUGGGCCCGCGUCCCAUUAGCUAGUUGGUGAGGUAGAGGCUCACCAAGGCGACGAUGGGUAGCCGAUCUGAGAGGAUGACCGGCCACAUUGGAACUGAGACACGGUCCAGACUCCUACGGGAGGCAGCAGUGGGGAAUAUUGCGCAAUGGGGGAAACCCUGACGCAGCAACGCCGCGUGAGCGAUGAAGGCCUUCGGGUCGUAAAGCUCUGUCUUUGCUGACGAUAAUGACGGUAAGCAAGGAGGAAGCCACGGCUAACUACGUGCCAGCAGCCGCGGUAAUACGUAGGUGGCGAGCGUUGUCCGGAAUUACUGGGCGUAAAGGGUGCGUAGGCGGUUGUUUAAGUCAGAUGUGAAAUUCCGGGGCUCAACCCCGGAACUGCAUUUGAAACUGGAUAACUAGAGUGCAGGAGAGGAAAGCGGAAUUCCUAGUGUAGCGGUGAAAUGCGUAGAUAUUAGGAAGAACACCAGUGGCGAAGGCGGCUUUCUGGACUGUAACUGACGCUGAGGCACGAAAGCGUGGGGAGCAAACAGGAUUAGAUACCCUGGUAGUCCACGCUGUAAACGAUGAGUGCUAGGUGUAGGGGGGUAUCGACUCCCUCUGUGCCGCAGUAAACGCAAUAAGCACUCCGCCUGGGGAGUACGGUCGCAAGACUAAAA
Molecule: ribosomal RNA, 881 nt
Filed under: bacterium enrichment culture clone HY345
Lineage: Bacteria
Description: bacterial SSU rRNA
Rfam family: Bacterial small subunit ribosomal RNA
Source: RNAcentral